AUUGAACGCUGGCGGCAUGCCUUACACAUGCAAGUCGAACGGCAGCACGGGAGCAAUCCUGGUGGCGAGUGGCGAACGGGUGAGUAAUAUAUCGGAACGUGCCCAGUCGUGGGGAUAACGUAGCGAAAGCUACGCUAAUACCGCAUACGAUCUAUGGAUGAAAGCGGGGGAUCGCAAGACCUCGCGCGAUUGGAGCGGCCGAUAUCAGAUUAGGUAGUUGGUGAGGUAAAGGCUCACCAAGCCGACGAUCUGUAGCUGGUCUGAGAGGACGACCAGCCACACUGGGACUGAGACACGGCCCAGACUCCUACGGGAGGCAGCAGUGGGAAUUUUGGACAAUGGGCGGCAAGCCUGAUCCAGCAAUGCCGCGUGCAGGAUGAAGGCCUU
Molecule: ribosomal RNA, 387 nt
Filed under: uncultured bacterium
Lineage: Bacteria
Description: bacterial SSU rRNA
Rfam family: Bacterial small subunit ribosomal RNA
Source: RNAcentral